AUUCAUCAAUCUUUUUGUUUUAUAUCAGACAGUUGCUGUUAUACCUGUUCUUCCUCAUGGCGUUGUUCAGCUAGGUUCAUUCUUUGCCGUAAGUUUUUCCUUUCCUUAACUUUUGGAGGCUAAAAUAAUCUUAAAUACUUGCAAAUACAUUGUGUUCACGAUGAAAAUCAUGAUGGUCAAGGUAUCUUUUGUUGGAAGUCGUCAACUUUCUGUGUUUCAAUCUAUUUCCCAAAUUUAGCUAUUAAAUUUUUGUAGUGAAUUCAGGAAAGAUAUUCUUUCACUUGAUUAAUGCUGUUGGAGUUCAAUGUAGUGCACUAGUGCGAAACUCUUAGGCUGCAAUUCUUAUUUCAGUAUUUGUGGAUCAAUGUCUUCAAUCUGUGAUGAGGAAAAGAAACGAGGUAUCCGCGUAAUGAUGUCAAUUCAGUAGACGUCCUACACCAAGCUCAACUGGCUGUUACGGGUCAUAGGAAGUCUGUGUUAUGAAUCAAGUCAUAUUUCCUUCUUGCGAGAGCAAUAACAUAUAGAAUGUAAUCAGAUUACAAGCGAAGCUAAUACACAGAUUUUUUAAUGAAAAUCGUUGGUCCACCCUCAAUGUGAGAGCUAUUCCCAUUUGCCUCUAUUGCUUUUACUGUAAUGGAGAAGAAUACAGGGUCUCACGCCUUUCACACUGAAAACUGCCCCCCCCCCCAACAAAGACAAAAUAAUAAUAAUAAAAUAAAAUAAAUAAAUACUAAUAUAUAUAGAAGUACAAUUGCAAUCUGAUAUGCCCAAUACAUCUCAGUAAUGAAAAUGUUCAGAGUUGAAAGGAUAAGUGUACAAUAUUAUUAGGCUUCACAGAGUGCAGUCUGAUACUCGGAAAAGUUUUUUGGUUUUCCAGUAGUUAUUCUAACAUUUUUUUUAUUUAUAAUUCUUGCAAUCUUGGUGCUGUAGCUGGUUCUCAAUGAGUUAAUGUAGAUUUUGUUGCUAUUCAGAUAGCGGAGAAUAUGAGAUUUGUAAAUGAUGUGAAGACUUUAGUUCUUCAGCUUAGACAUGAACCUGGUCUCUUGCUACCUGAUAAUUAUGCAGCAAAAGAACUUUCUCCAAAAAUAGGGGUACCUGUGUUUCUUGGGAAUUCUACUUCUGGAGACCUAUCUGGCGUAUCGAAUAUGACCAACUCUAUUCCAUUCAUUGCUGAGAGUUACAACUAUGUGGAAAACUCUGAUCAGACUACCGAGUUUGUUGGUGACACAUCUCAUUCUUUAGCAAGACAUAUCCAGGAUAAUUUGCAGUUUAAUGGUGCUACAUUUCAUACCUCUAGCUCGAGCCAAAGCCACGUUCAGCUUGAUGAUGAUCUCAAGGAAGCGAAGUUUGCUACGAGAAUGAAGACAAACUCUACUUUGGAAAAUGAAGUAGUGACAAAAGCUGAAGUUAUAUUGAAUCUGGAGAUGCUGAUGAACCAACAGGCAUAUCUGCACAUCCCAGGAUCUGCUUUGCAUCAACUAUCCUCCAGCAGUUCAUCUACUAUCGACAGUGGCAGCUCAAGGUGGGUGGAAAAGGGAAUGUCAAAUGCUGGUACUCAGUGCCAUUUUGGCAGCGCCAAUAUGUCAUCUGGCCUGUUGACGUCUGUGCCGAGAAUAAAUUCAGACCUGAUAUCUAGUUCUCAUGAAAAUCCUGUUGACCAUUUAACGUCCAAUCACUUGCUUGUAUAUGACUCAGGUAGCAGACAUUAUUGUACAGAUGACAGAAACGGGAAACGCGAGUUGAAUGUGUGCAAUGAAAGAAUGGAAAACAAUAUAAUUCAAGCUCGUGGUAUCCCCCUGUCCAAACAUGAUGAGCAUAAGAAUUCAGUUGAGUUUCUACCUGAUUUCGUUCUAGCUGACAGAAAGUAUGAACUUGAAGGUUGGAGUCAAUCUUUUAGAAAUACUGAAUAUCGAGAUGCAUGUAUAGGACCUCAACCAGGAGAUGAUUUGUUUGAUAUUUUGGGAAUUGAAUUUAAGAACAAACUAUUCAACAGUCACUGGAAUAAUAGUUUGAAAAAUGCAUCAUACUCGAACAUGGUUAAUCUGGAUAAAAAAAAUUCUCCAUCUGUAAAAGCUCAGGACACUGCUUCCGAAAUAUAUUCUCUUAACUGUGGAAACUCCAAUGGCAGUGAACAUCUGUUAGACGCUGUGGUCUCUGAGGUUCAUUCUUCUGCUAAGCAGCGCUCAGAUGAUAAUGUUUCUUGCAGGACAACAAUGACAAAUAACAGUAGCCACUGCAGACCUAAUGUUGAACUCCCCUACAGCCAGGCUCAGGUUCUUGAUCAAAUUAAGGAAGAGUUAUUUGGUGUUCCAGAAUAUCUGGCAGAAGCAGAAGCAAUGAGUUGUUCAUUUUUAUCUGGAUCUUCUAAGGAUUAUUCGAGCACCUAUUCCCUGAAUAGUUCCAUUUAUGGAUCACAAAUAAGUUCAUCAGUUGUAAAGGGUCAGGACAUCAAACAGAGUAGCUGUGCAUCUACAGGAUACUCUAAGAAGCCUGAUGAAAUGUGCAAAACAAAUCGCAAGAGGCUUAAACCAGGAGAAAAUCAUAGGCCAAGGCCGAAGGAUCGCCAGAUGAUCCAAGAUCGUGUAAAGGAAUUAAGGGAAAUUGUGCCAAAUGGGGCAAAGGUGACAUUUCUUGUCUUUGGCUCAAACUAUUUCC
RNAcentral lists this long non-coding RNA (2655 nucleotides) under Olea europaea subsp. europaea. Lineage: Eukaryota; Viridiplantae; Streptophyta; Magnoliopsida; Lamiales; Oleaceae. The record is from RNAcentral.